RNAcentral lists this transfer RNA (78 nucleotides) under Muribaculum sp. RNAcentral's name for it is "tRNA-Thr". It matches the Rfam family "tRNA". Rfam says of the family: Transfer RNA (tRNA) molecules are approximately 80 nucleotides in length. Their secondary structure includes four short double-helical elements and three loops (D, anti-codon, and T loops). Lineage: Bacteria; Pseudomonadati; Bacteroidota; Bacteroidia; Bacteroidales; Muribaculaceae. The record is from RNAcentral.
AGCCGCAAUAGCUCAGUUGGUAGAGUAUCUCAUUCGUAACGAGACGGUCGUGGGUUCGAGUCCCACUCGCGGCUCCCA